This 728-nucleotide long non-coding RNA is filed under the name Vigna radiata. Its description in RNAcentral is "long non-coding RNA (VRAD_LNC003501)". Lineage: Eukaryota; Viridiplantae; Streptophyta; Magnoliopsida; Fabales; Fabaceae. The record is from RNAcentral.
ACGGUGGUGAUCUUUCUUGAGAGAGAUUCAAAGGGAGGAGUCCAUUGCGCAUACUGCUUGAUCAUGAUCUGCACAAAGAAGGUGUUGCUCAUUUGAUCUUGAAGGCUUGGCAUCCUAUGAAGACUGUUGCAUUUGAUUGAUGGCUUGGCAACCUGUGAAGUCUGUUGUAAUAGGCUUGGCAUCUUGUGAAGAGUGUUGGUUACACGUUGAGGAUUGUUCAACGUGGGUGUAGAUUGUAGAAGAGGGGAUUCUUGUUGCAAUUAUUGUUUUUGUGUGUGCAGCUAUAUUUGGUUUUGGGUUAGAGAGGGGAUUUAUAUUUUUGCGUGGUGCUUCUAUAAACUCCUUGUAAAAACCGCAACCAUUAUAGUGCAUUUGCUUCCUGGGUUGGAAGGACACUGGAUGUAGGCAUUGUUGGCCGAACCAGUAUAAAAACCAGUGUUUUUUUUUCUCUAUCCUUGCACUCUUUAUUUCCAAUCGACUUUAUUUGUUUAGCAGUCAACUGCGUUUUUCUGCUGCAUUGAAUUUUCAUUACAUGCAUUUCAAGGAAAGAUUAAAAAGAUUCGAAUUUUCAUAUCAAGAUUGCGAAAAGAAUUUGUUUUUGAACUAAGACCAAUUCACCCCCCUUCUUGGUGUAAAAUGAAGCCUACUUGUUUCUUAACAUUGAUGAAUUAUGUAUGUGUGAUAGCCAGAGGUUGUUAUACAUUUAUAUUCAACAAUUAGUUCUCCCC